This is a long non-coding RNA of Heterocephalus glaber (naked mole-rat), 832 nucleotides long. Lineage: Eukaryota; Metazoa; Chordata; Mammalia; Rodentia; Bathyergidae. The record is from Ensembl.
AGGGCCUUGAAACAGACCUGUGGCCUACUGUCUAAAAGACUUGAUCCUGUGGCAAGUGGAUGGUCUACCUGUUUGAGGGCAGUUGCAGCCACCACCCUCCUGGUCAAGGAGGCAGAUAAGCUCAGCCUAGGAUGGGACCUGGUCAUCACCACACCCCAUGCAGUGGAAACAUUGCUGAGAGGAGCCCCAGACUAUGGCUCUCCAACGCCUGCCUGACUCAGUACCAGGCCCUGUUGCUGGAUGCUCCAUGCAUCAAAUUCACCUGAGAAAUGACCCUCAAUCUGGCCACCUUACUCCUGGACUCUGACUCAUAUGCAUGCCCCUCCAUAACUGUCUGGACACUCUGACAACUUCCACCACCAACUGCCCAGAUCUGACUGAUGUUCCCCUGCAAAGCCCAGAUGAGACCUUCUUCACCAAUGGAAACAGCUUAGUGGAAGACUGAGUCAGUCUCUUCAAGCCUUACAGAUUCUUCAGAGUGAGAUCCAGGCUACAAAACAACAGGCUCAAGAAAAACCCUUUGCGACGUUCCAGCCCCAUGGUUUCAAGCCAGGAGACCUGGUCCUGAUAUGCUUGGUUUGCUUGCACUGAGGACUUGACUAAAUACAUUCCCAAAUCAGUCUUGGCUACCCAAUCUGCCACUUUAUUUUGUGUCACCAUGUAUGGUGUUCCACAAGUCUUGUAUUAUAAUAAAAAAGGGGGCUGUAAACAUCUGGAAUUAACCACUGAACACUAAAGGAGUAAACGGGAUGCCCCCAUUUUAGUGCCCAUUCUGGUGGGAUUAGGAAUAGCCAGGUCAGUGGCUACUGGAACUUCCUCCCUGAUCCUUCAG